UGAGGCAGGAGAAUUGCUUGAACCCAGGAGGUGGAGGCUGCAGUGAGCCGAGAUUCUGCCACGGUACUCCAGCCUGGGUGACA
This 83-nucleotide microRNA precursor is filed under the name Cebus imitator (Panamanian white-faced capuchin). RNAcentral's name for it is "miRNA (ENSCCAG00000005283.1)". The record is from RNAcentral. Lineage: Eukaryota; Metazoa; Chordata; Mammalia; Primates; Cebidae.